RNAcentral lists this ribosomal RNA (63 nucleotides) under Hime japonica. Lineage: Eukaryota; Metazoa; Chordata; Actinopteri; Aulopiformes; Aulopidae. The record is from RNAcentral.
CGGGGCGGGCCUGGUAGUACUUGAGGGAGACCGCCUGGGAAUACCAGGGCUGUAAGCCUUUUC